UAACACAAAUACUAAAGUAGGAGCGUUUUGAAUAUUGGUGCAAGAGGACUGUCUUUUCUCAAAGUUCCCUUUCAGGUAACUUUGAGACGAGAAAGAAAAACAAGGCAACCCAGGAUGAGGAGCGGAAAAGCAGAACACGGCUGGCCGAUCGUGUGCAGCGUGGGGGACAUUGAACUGAAAACGAUCCGUUUGCCACGGAGUAUCCUGGGGUGCUGCACGGAAACCAGAGCUGUCAUCAGCCGCACUCGAUUUCAGCUGAACAGGAUCGAUACAGAGCACAGCACUGCAGCGGUGACUUCAUGUCUUCAUCCCGCUCUUUUAAGCAGCGACUUUCCUCUACCUUAGGGAAGUUUUUUCUCUUGGGAUUGUUCACAGAUUCAGCAGUGACUGUUGGGUUCCAGACCAUAAAACAUAGUGUUAUACUGAAUCCCACAUCUGGAUGGGAGAGAAAGGAAAGAAAACAGAAAAAAGCUUUUCCAUUUUUUCCAAGCAGUCAUGGAAAACGAAUUCAGUUCUCAAAGUGCAUUUCGAGCUUGUGUUCGUCUACAGGGAGGAGAUGGGGAGGAUCCCCUUGAGUCCAGGAAGCCGCUUGCCAUUGUUUAACAGUGAUGAGCGGCCACAACCCCGCUGGCCCUCACGGAUGAAUCCUGCACGCUGCCACGGAGGACAGGG
Molecule: long non-coding RNA, 672 nt
Filed under: Apteryx owenii (little spotted kiwi)
Lineage: Eukaryota; Metazoa; Chordata; Aves; Apterygiformes; Apterygidae
Description: lncRNA (ENSAOWG00000010562.1)
Source: RNAcentral